Molecule: ribosomal RNA, 301 nt
Filed under: uncultured bacterium
Lineage: Bacteria
Description: partial 16S ribosomal RNA
Rfam family: Bacterial small subunit ribosomal RNA
Source: RNAcentral
UAGGGAAUCUUCCACAAUGGACGCAAGUCUGAUGGAGCAACGCCGCGUGAGUGAAGAAGGCUUCGGGUCGUAAAACUCUGUUAUUGAAGAAGAACGUGUGUGACAGUAACUGGUCAUGCAGUGACGGUAUUCAAUCAGAAAGUCACGGCUAACUACGUGCCAGCAGCCGCGGUAAUACGUAGGUGGCAAGCGUUGUCCGGAUUUAUUGGGCGUAAAGCGAGUGCAGGCGGUCUUUUAAGUCUGAUGUGAAAGCCUUCGGCUUAACCGAAGAAGGGCAUCGGAAACUGGGAGACUUGAGUGC